CUUUAUGCUUGUCACAUUAUAUAUUUUUAUUUUAGCGCAUCCCUGAUACUAACUGACAGUGAAUCAGGGUACAGGCACCCAAAGGCAAGACUCAAAGGAAGCACAUUAGACCUUGGAAAUGGAAGCCAAUCACAAACUUGGCCAGUGAAGAUGAGCUGGUGUUGUAUCAUUUGCGUGGAACCACUGAAGAGGGAAUAGAUAAUCCUUUUGUGCAGUUCAACAAGAAACUUCCAUUCCAAGAUACACUGAUGAGGAAUAUACUAGCGUCCGCAAGAGACUGGUUGGAGUAAACUAGAAACAGAUCAUCUUUUCGAAUUAUGCAGGGUCUGUGGUUGCCUCCUGGUAAAUAUGACAUUCUAAAUUCAACGUUACUAACUCAGUUCAUGAUUGUCAGAUACUAGAGUCUUUCAGUAUAAUGAACUUCAGCUUGUUAUACUAGGAGUGUACAAUGUGGAUGAGGCCAUUAGGCUGAGUCCUUGACAAAGGGGCAUCUGCUUUUUGAAGAACUUUGCCACCAACAAAAACUCUCACUAUUGACUCUCCGUGGAGAAAAUGUACACACACAACAAAC
Molecule: long non-coding RNA, 571 nt
Organism: Amphimedon queenslandica
Lineage: Eukaryota; Metazoa; Porifera; Demospongiae; Haplosclerida; Niphatidae
Exons: 5
Source: RefSeq, a predicted model, not a curated record